GACGAACGCUGGCGGCGUGCUUAACACAUGCAAGUCGAACGGAAAGGCCCUGCUUUUGUGGGGUGCUCGAGUGGCGAACGGGUGAGUAACACGUGAGUAACCUGCCCUUGACUUUGGGAUAACUUCAGUAAACUGGGGCUAAUACCGGAUAGGAGCUCCUGCUGCAUGGUGGGGGUUGGAAAGUUUCGGCGGUUGGGGAUGGACUCGCGGCUUAUCAGCUUGUUGGUGGGGUAGUGGCUUACCAAGGCUUUGACGGGUAGCCGGCCUGAGAGGGUGACCGGCCACAUUGGGAAGGAGAUACGGCCCAGACUCCUACGGGAGGCAGGAGUGGGGAAUAUUGCACAAUGGGCGGAAGCCUGAUGCAGCAACGCCGCGUGCGGGAUGACGGCCUUCGGGUUGUAAACCGCUUUCGCCUGUGACGAAGCGUGAGUGACGGUAAUGGGUAAAGAAGCACCGGCUAACUACGUG
This 468-nucleotide ribosomal RNA is filed under the name uncultured bacterium. RNAcentral's name for it is "partial 16S ribosomal RNA". It matches the Rfam family "Bacterial small subunit ribosomal RNA", at positions 28 to 507 of the family's 1533-position model. The record is from RNAcentral.